This 107-nucleotide small nuclear RNA is filed under the name Sciurus vulgaris (Eurasian red squirrel). Lineage: Eukaryota; Metazoa; Chordata; Mammalia; Rodentia; Sciuridae. The record is from RNAcentral.
GUGCUCUCUUUGGCAGCAGGUAUACUAAAAUUGGAAUGAUACACAGAAGAUUAGCAUGGCCCCUGUGCAAAGAUUACAUGCAAAUUUGUAAAGCAUUCCAUAUUUAA